Molecule: long non-coding RNA, 612 nt
Organism: Setaria italica (foxtail millet)
Lineage: Eukaryota; Viridiplantae; Streptophyta; Magnoliopsida; Poales; Poaceae
Exons: 2
Source: RefSeq, a predicted model, not a curated record
UGACGAAUAAGGUUGCAAAUUCUUAGGUGCAUUCUAAUUCUAAAGGACUAUAAGAAAUAUAUAUGUGGAGCCAUAGUCGUGAGUACUGCCAUGUGUGGAUGUUAUUUUCAUGUUCAAGAACUUCAUUGACUUCAUCCUUCAUGCCUAUUGGCAUCGCCAUGUCCUGUUCAGACAGCAAACAUAUUUCUGAAUAUGAUUCAAAUGCAGGCUUUUGUGAGUGAGUACGCUGUUUGGAGAAGUGAUGCAGGUAGAGGAAGUCUUCUUGCUUCAUUGGCAGAAGCUGCUUUCCUUACCGGGCUGGAGAUGAACAGUGACAUUGUUCAUAUGGCAAGUUACGCUCCACUGUUUGUAAAUGACAACGACAGAGCGUUAGUAUCCAUGGUUUGAUGCUUUAUUUGCUUCUGUUCUCCUUUCAUCUAACACUGAGGUAAAUUGCGUUUGAAUAAAACUGUCAGAUGGAACCCAGAUGCUAUCGUCUUCAACUCGUGGCAACAUUAUGGAACUCCUAGUUACUGGAUGCAGACGCUGUUCCGUGAGUCCAGCGGUGCUAUGAUUCAUCCAAUUACAGUCAGUUCCAGCUACUCUGGUUCGCUCGCAGCAUCUGCAAUUACU